This 550-nucleotide long non-coding RNA is filed under the name Elaeis guineensis (African oil palm). Its description in RNAcentral is "long non-coding RNA (EGUI_LNC050788)". The record is from RNAcentral. Lineage: Eukaryota; Viridiplantae; Streptophyta; Magnoliopsida; Arecales; Arecaceae.
UGGGUCUGCAAUGAUUAUUGAGUUAAUGUACUCAUUAUCAAACACCUUAAUGGGAGGCUAUGACUCAGUUAUCUCCAUAACUUUAUCAUUUUAAGGAUCUAAUAAUUUUAGAGAAUUUAAAUAAUUUAGAGGAUGAGGUCAGAUGAACUAGCUUAUCAUGAUCCUCCCACUGGCUUCACCAAGUCAGCUUAAGGGAGACCAUUAAAAGAGCUAGUCUAGGAGCACCUAAAUCAGUCACACUGAUUUACUUAGCUGACAUGGAUCAGCUUGAAUAGUCAAAUGAUCCGAUCAAAAUAUAAUUUCACCAAGAGGCCAGGUAAGUUCGAUCAGUGGGAGGGUCUACCAAAGCUUUCCUUAGACACCAUCAGAAAUAGCCAGGUAAGUAGGCUCCCAAUUAAAAACCACCGGUCUGGUUUACCUUAGACACCAACUGGUUUAAUUAGUUUCGAUUAGAUCAACCUAACAGUUCGUGCUAGACCGCUUAGCCAAGAAUCAAGUCCAUUUGGUUCUUGUUAAAGACAUGGACUUGACCAACUACAACUAUUGUNNN